Molecule: transfer RNA, 72 nt
Filed under: Bos taurus (domestic cattle)
Lineage: Eukaryota; Metazoa; Chordata; Mammalia; Artiodactyla; Bovidae
Also listed under: 5 other names
Rfam family: tRNA
About the family: Transfer RNA (tRNA) molecules are approximately 80 nucleotides in length.
Source: Rfam by way of RNAcentral
UCCCUGGUGGCUCAGAGAGUAAAGUGUCUGCCUGUCAUGCAGGAGAUCUGGGUUUGAUUCCCAUGUUGGGAA